This 224-nucleotide long non-coding RNA is filed under the name Capsella rubella. RNAcentral's name for it is "long non-coding RNA (CRUB_LNC001372)". The record is from RNAcentral. Lineage: Eukaryota; Viridiplantae; Streptophyta; Magnoliopsida; Brassicales; Brassicaceae.
ACAAAACAAAACUCGUGGGGGCAUGGGACCUCUGGAUUAUACUAUACUAUAGUAAAGUAUAUUAUAAUAUAUAGAGAUACACUACUGUUACUGUAUGUAGUAUCAAUAUAUAUAUAUAUCACCUACAUAACAGUGUGGUAGGGGGUGAGAUGAGAGAGAGAAUGUCUAUGGCAGAACAGAGGCGGUGGUGGGUGAGAGAGAGAUGAUAAGACACAAGAGAGAAG